UUAUAUGUGUUUUCACAGUGU
Molecule: non-coding RNA, 21 nt
Filed under: Caenorhabditis elegans
Lineage: Eukaryota; Metazoa; Nematoda; Chromadorea; Rhabditida; Rhabditidae
Source: RNAcentral